UGGUGGAGUGAUUUGUCUGGUUAAUUCCGAUAACGAACGAGACUCUGGCCCAUUAAAUAGUUCGCCGAUUCCGAUCUGUCGGCGUUAACUUCUUAGAGGGACAAGUGGCUUUUAGCCACGCGAGAUUGAGCAAUAACA
RNAcentral lists this ribosomal RNA (138 nucleotides) under uncultured eukaryote. RNAcentral's name for it is "partial 18S ribosomal RNA". It matches the Rfam family "Eukaryotic small subunit ribosomal RNA", at positions 1299 to 1458 of the family's 1831-position model. The record is from RNAcentral.